RNAcentral lists this ribosomal RNA (374 nucleotides) under uncultured organism. RNAcentral's name for it is "bacterial SSU rRNA". It matches the Rfam family "Bacterial small subunit ribosomal RNA", at positions 526 to 896 of the family's 1533-position model. The record is from RNAcentral.
CGGGGGGAGCAAGCGUUGUUCGGAUUUACUGGGCGUAAAGGGCGCGUAGGCGGCCACCGCAAGUCGACUGUGAAAUCUCUGGGCUUAACCCAGAACGGUCAGCCGAUACUGCGGGGCUAGAGUGCAGAAGGGGCAACUGGAAUUCUCGGUGUAGCGGUGAGAUGCGUAGAUAUCGAGAGGAACACCUGCGGCGAAGGCGGGUUGCUGGGCUGACACUGACGCUGAGGCGCGAAAGCUAGGGGAGCGAACGGGAUUAGAUACCCCGGUAGUCCUAGCCUUAAACGAUGAAUGCUUGGUGUCUGGGGUUUUAUAGUCCCCGGGUGCCGUCGCUAACGCUUUAAGCAUUCCGCCUGGGGAGUACGGUCGCAAGACUG